GACGCCUGCCCAGUGCCGGAAGGUCAAGGAAGUUGGUGAACUGAUGACAGGGAAGCCGGCGACCGAAGCCCCGGUGAACGGCGACAAUAACUAUAACGGUCCUAAGGUAGCGAAAUUCCUUGUCGGGUAAGUUCUGACCCGCACGAAAGGCG
This 152-nucleotide ribosomal RNA is filed under the name Triticum aestivum (bread wheat). RNAcentral describes it as "rRNA LSU_rRNA_eukarya". It matches the Rfam family "Bacterial large subunit ribosomal RNA", at positions 1854 to 2001 of the family's 2925-position model. The record is from RNAcentral. Lineage: Eukaryota; Viridiplantae; Streptophyta; Magnoliopsida; Poales; Poaceae.